Molecule: non-coding RNA, 31 nt
Filed under: Homo sapiens (human)
Lineage: Eukaryota; Metazoa; Chordata; Mammalia; Primates; Hominidae
Source: RNAcentral
UCUACUCACCACCAUGCUUAUCAGCACCCAC